GGUGCCGGUGGAACGAAAGCCUUCGGAGGAGUUAGCGAAAUUCCAAUGUGUGCGGAUCGGCAAAAAAUGCGAAAUAACCCUUUAACCGUACAUUUGACAGAUACGCCCGCACUGACUUUUUUGUAGAUCUUAUUGAGAUACAUGUGUGUGUCAAUUUUUGUGUCAUUUUGACAAAGCGUACAGGCGUGACAGUGAAUAGUGUGAAUUUUCACCUUAGGGGGCGCUAUGGAGCCAUUUUGCAUUUUAUUGUUUGGGCGACUUCAGAAUAUCAAAUUUUUCACCAGGCCCGGUCGUCCUGCCAAAUUUCAUGAGUUUUCGCCAGUGGGAAGUGGGCCAUUUUCCAGUUCAAAGGGGAGGAAAAAUAAUAAUAAUAACAAAAGAAGGAAACUACAGGAACAAGAGGGCUCUCGCAGCUGCUUAGCAGCUACGCUCGGGCCCUAACUAGGGCCCCGGUGGGGCACUGUCGGGCCCGAGCCGCGUCGUGCCGCCCCCAGCGUGACCGCCUACCCCUCCCGAUCGCGUCACACUCAAGGUCCAAAGAUGGUGUGCGCACUUGUCUGUGGUCAUUUCCCAUUAUAAUGAAUGGGAGGCGCAGUUUCUACCAAAACACUCGCUGCAGACAAACUUCAUGUCCUAUUUGAAAAAAGUCUGGACCAUGAGUGAGGGCACAAACACAGCUGGGAUAUAUCCAAAUGGCAGGUUGCUCCUCCUUACGGUGUUGCCUGGAGAGCGAUGCGAUUGAGCCAUUGAGCGAUGGGCAGGAAAAACUUGACUUUUUCUCCUGCCAUGGGGGAGAAUGUGGAUUCUUUUAAGAAUGUGGAUUUUUUGGUCAUCUUUGGCGCCCCCUAGAACGUAAACCGUGGGGUGCAGCGUCAUGAUUUUUACAACUUUGAAUGGCCAUGGGGUGUAGAUUGGCCUGAGCAAAUUUGGUGUCAGUGGGACGAAAGCCUUAGGAGGAGUUAGUCACAUUCCAAUGUGUGCGAAUCGGCAAAAAAUGCAAAAUAGCCCUCUAACCGUACAUUUGACAGAUACGCACCCAUUGACUUUUUCGUAGAUCUUAUUGAGAUACACGUGAUUGUCAAAUUUUGUGUCAAUAUGACAAAGCGUACAGGUGUCACACUCAACAAUGUGAAUUUUCACCUUACGGGACAAGAAAAAAUGGACUUUUUUCUCCUGCCAUGGGGGGCGCUCUUUUGGGGAGUAAAAAUUCCUUCACAAAUGUGUUGAUGGCUGGACAUUGCAUUAUCCUAGAAAACUUGGAGGCCAGUGAGGACAAAAAUAAAAAGUUAUAAGACUUUGAAAUAUGUGGAUUUUAGGGUUAUCUUUGGCGCCCCCUAGAACCUAAACCGUGGGGUGCAGCGUCAUGAUUUGAAUAACUUUUAAUGGCCAUGGGGUGUAGAUUGGCCUGAGCAAAUGUGGUGCCGGUGGAAAGAAAGCCUUCGGAGGAGUUAGCGAAAUUCCAAUGUGUGCGGAUCGGCAAAAAAUGCGGAAUAACCCUUUAACCGUACAUUUGACAGAUACGCCCGCACUGACUUUUUUGUAGAUCUUAUUGAGAUACAUAUGUGUGUCAAUUUUUGUGUCAUUUUGACAAAGCGUAAAGGCGUGACAGUCAAUAGUGUGAAUUUUCACCUUAGGGGGCGCUAUGGAGCCAUUUUGCAUUUUCUUGUUUGGGCGACUUCGGAAUAUCAAAUUUUUCACCAGGCCCGGUCAUCCAUCCAAAUUUCAUGAGUUUUCGCCAGUGGGAAGUGGGCCAUUUUCCAGUUCAAAGGGGAGGAAAAAGAAGAAAGAAAGAAACAAAGAAAAACCUCUUGGGGAAUAAUAGGGCUCUCGCAGCUGCUUAGCAGCUACGCUCGGGCCCUAACUAGGGCCCCGGUGGGGCACUGUCGGGCCCGAGCCGCGUUGCGCCGCCCCCAGCGCGACCGCCUCCCCCUCCCGAUCGCGUCACACUCAAGGUCCAAAGAUGGUGUGCGCACUUGUCUGUGGUCAUUUCCCAUUAUAAUGAAUGGGAGGCGCAGUUUCUACCAAAACACUCGCUGCAGACAUACUACAUGUCCUAUUUGAAAAAAGUCUGGACCAUGAGUGAGGGCACAAACACAGCUAGGAUAUAUCCAAACGGCAAGUUGCUCCUUGUUACGGUGUUGCCGGGAGAGUGAUGCGAUUGAGCCAUUGAGUGAUGGGCAGGAAAAACUUGACUGUUUCUCCUGCCAUGGGGGUUGGGGGAUGGGGGGGAUGUGGAUUCUUUUAAGAAUGUGGAUAUUUGGGUCAUCUUUGGCGCCCCCUAGAACGUAAACCGUGGGGUGCAGCGUCAUGAUUUUUACAACUUUGAAUGGCCAUGGGGUGUAGAUUGGCCUGAGCAAAUUUGGUGUCAGUGAGACGAAAGCCUUAGGAGGAGUUAGCCACAUUCCAAUGUGUGCGAAUCGGCAAAAAAUGCAAAAUAGCCCUUUAACCGUACAUUUUACAGAUACGCGCGCAUUGACUUUUUCGUAGAUCUUAUUGAGAUACAUGUGAUUGUCAAAUUUUGUGUCAAUAUGACAAAGCGUACAGGUAUGACAGUCAACAAUGUGUUUUUUCACCUUAUGGGACAAGAAAAAAUGGACUUUUUUCUCCUGCCAUGGGGGGGCGCUCUUUUGGGGAGUAAAAAUUCCUUCACAAAUGUGUUGAUGGCUGGACAUUGCAUCAUCCUAGAAAACUUGGAGGCCAGUGAGGACAAAAAUAAAAAGUUAUAAGACUUUGAAAUAUGUGGAUUUUAGGGUUAUCUUUGGCGCCCCCUAGAACCUAAACCAUGGGGUGCAGCGUCAUGAUUUGAAUAACUUUUAAUGGCCAUGGGGUGUAGAUUGGCCUGAGCAAAUGUGGUGCCGGUGGAACGCCAGCCUUAGGAGGAGUUAGCGAAAUUCCAAUGUGUGCGGAUCAGCAAAAAAUGCGGAAUAACCCUUUAACCGUACAUUUGACAGAUACGCGCGCAUUGACUUUUUCGUAGAUCUUAUUGAGAUA
Molecule: long non-coding RNA, 2991 nt
Filed under: Xyrichtys novacula (pearly razorfish)
Lineage: Eukaryota; Metazoa; Chordata; Actinopteri; Labriformes; Labridae
Source: RNAcentral